UACGUAGGGGGCAAGCGUUGUCCGGAAUCAUUGGGCGUAAAGAGCGUGUAGGCGGUCCGGUAAGUCGGCUGUGAAAGUCCAGGGCUCAACCCUGGGAUGCCGGUCGAUACUGCCGGACUAGAGUUCGGAAGAGGCGAGUGGAAUUCCCUGUGUAGCGGUGAAAUGCGCAGAUAUCGGGAGGAACACCUAUGGCGAAGGCAGCUCGCUGGGACGUUACUGACGCUGAGACGCGAAAGCGUGGGGAGCAAACAGG
This 253-nucleotide ribosomal RNA is filed under the name uncultured bacterium. Its description in RNAcentral is "partial 16S ribosomal RNA". It matches the Rfam family "Bacterial small subunit ribosomal RNA", at positions 524 to 776 of the family's 1533-position model. The record is from RNAcentral.